AGAGUUUGAUCAUGGCUCAGGAUGAACGCUAGCGGCAGGCUUAACACAUGCAAGUCGAGGGGCAGCAUAAUGGAUAGCAAUAUCUAUGGUGGCGACCGGCGCACGGGUGCGUAACGCGUAUGCAACCUACCUUUAACAGGGGGAUAACACUGAGAAAUUGGUACUAAUACCCCAUAAUAUCAUAGAAGGCAUCUUUUAUGGUUGAAAAUUCCGAUGGUUAGAGAUGGGCAUGCGUUGUAUUAGCUAGUUGGUGGGGUAACGGCUCACCAAGGCGACGAUACAUAGGGGGACUGAGAGGUUAACCCCCCACACUGGUACUGAGACACGGACCAGACUCCUACGGGAGGCAGCAGUGAGGAAUAUUGGUCAAUGGACGCAAGUCUGAACCAGCCAUGCCGCGUGCAGGAUGACGGCUCUAUGAGUUGUAAACUGCUUUUGUACGAGGGUAAACGCAGAUACGUGUAUCUGUCUGAAAGUAUCGUACGAAUAAGGAUCGGCUAACUUCGUGCCAGCAGCCGCGGUAAUACGGAGGAUUCAAGCGUUAUCCGGAUUUAUUGGGUUUAAAGGGUGCGUAGGCGGUUUGAUAAGUUAGAGGUGAAAUUUCGGGGCUCAACCCUGAACGUGCCUCUAAUACUGUUGAGCUAGAGAGUAGUUGCGGUAGGCGGAAUGUAUGGUGUAGCGGUGAAAUGCUUAGAGAUCAUACAGAACACCGAUUGCGAAG
RNAcentral lists this ribosomal RNA (721 nucleotides) under uncultured bacterium. RNAcentral describes it as "bacterial SSU rRNA". It matches the Rfam family "Bacterial small subunit ribosomal RNA", at positions 8 to 720 of the family's 1533-position model. The record is from RNAcentral.